This 468-nucleotide ribosomal RNA is filed under the name uncultured bacterium. RNAcentral's name for it is "partial 16S rRNA". The record is from RNAcentral.
GCACAGAGUUAGCCGGUGCUUCCUCACCCGGUACCGUCAAUCUGGUCGAAACCAGGAUUCGUCCCGGGCAACAGGGGUUUACAAUCCGAAGACCUUCCUCCCCCACGCGGCGUCGCUGCGUCAGCCUUUCGGCCAUUGCGCAAUAUUCCCCACUGCUGCCUCCCGUAGGAGUCUGGGCCGUAUCUCAGUCCCAAUGUGGCUGGCCAUCCUCUCAGACCAGCUACCCGUCGUAGCCUUGGUGAGCCAUUACCUCACCAACUAGCUGAUAAGCCGCGAGCCCCUCCAUGUGCCCCGAAGGUUUCCUUCUCAGAGAAUGCCCUCCGAGAAGCGUAUGCGGUAUUACUUGGCCGUUGGGCCAGCUAUCCCCCACACUUGGGCAGGUUGCUCACGUGUUACGCACCCGUUCGCCGGUGACCCAUUGCUGAGCCCCCUGACUUGCAUGUGUUAAGCACGCCGCCAGCGUUCGUC